GUUUCAUCUCAAGUUGUUCGACAGAAUUUACGCCCGGAGAUCCCUAGAUGUUGCCCAAAUUCAUUUGCAAGCAUCAUGCGUAAGUGUUGGGAUGCAAAUGCAGACAAACGUCCUGAGAUGGACGGGGUAGUGAGGCUGCUAGAAGCAAUAGACACGAGCAAAGGAGGAGGCAUGAUUCCUGAAGAUCAAUCCACUGGCUGUUUCUGUUUUAGUUCAGUUCGUGGACCAUGACUUCUUUUAACCUUCCAUUCCUGAUAUAUACUUGCGAAAUACUGAAGCAGUUCAUGGCCAGACUUCAGCUGGUCUUUGCAUAGCUAACUAAAGAUUCCAGCUUUGUUGGACACAGAAUUGAGAAUGCAGAGGAAUUUCUGGUCCUAGUCAAGUCUUGAAAUUUUAAAAUUUGGUUACCGUAAUCGUUAUUGCUGGACGAAAUUCAGGAAUUGGAAGAUUGGAAUUCCAUAUUUGUAUAACAUUCGUCAAACUGGUUUCAAACAUUCUAUUCAGAUUGUAGCCUUGAUAAUUCAUUAUGAGUUGAUAUAUAUGGUAGCUGAAAAUUGGGGGGUUUUAAAAAAAAAAAAAAAAA
This 583-nucleotide unclassified non-coding RNA is filed under the name Hevea brasiliensis (rubber tree). The record is from RNAcentral. Lineage: Eukaryota; Viridiplantae; Streptophyta; Magnoliopsida; Malpighiales; Euphorbiaceae.